UACGGAGGGUGCAAGCGUUAUCCGGAUUCACUGGGUUUAAAGGGUGCGUAGGUGGGCUGGUAAGUCAGUGGUGAAAUCUCCAGGCUUAACUUGGAAACUGCCAUUGAUACUAUUAGUCUUGAAUACCGUGGAGGUCAGCGGAAUAUGUCAUGUAGCGGUGAAAUGCUUAGAGAUGACAUAGAACACCCAUUGCGAAGGCAGCUAACUACGCGAUAAUUGACGCUGAGGCACGAAAGCGUGGGGAUCAAACAGG
This 253-nucleotide ribosomal RNA is filed under the name uncultured bacterium. RNAcentral's name for it is "partial 16S ribosomal RNA". It matches the Rfam family "Bacterial small subunit ribosomal RNA", at positions 524 to 776 of the family's 1533-position model. The record is from RNAcentral.